This 833-nucleotide ribosomal RNA is filed under the name Cassava witches'-broom aster yellows phytoplasma. Its description in RNAcentral is "bacterial SSU rRNA". It matches the Rfam family "Bacterial small subunit ribosomal RNA", at positions 375 to 1217 of the family's 1533-position model. The record is from RNAcentral. Lineage: Bacteria; Bacillati; Mycoplasmatota; Mollicutes; Acholeplasmatales; Acholeplasmataceae.
AGGAAACUCUGACCGAGCAACGCCGCGUGAACGAUGAAGUAUUUCGGUACGUAAAGUUCUUUUAUUAGGGAAGAAUAAAUGAUGGAAAAAUCAUUCUGACGGUACCUAAUGAAUAAGCCCCGGCUAACUAUGUGCCAGCAGCCGCGGUAAUACAUAGGGGGCAAGCGUUAUCCGGAAUUAUUGGGCGUAAAGGGUGCGUAGGCGGUUAAAUAAGUUUAUGGUCUAAGUGCAAUGCUCAACAUUGUGAUGCUAUAAAAACUGUUUAGCUAGAGUAAGAUAGAGGCAAGUGGAAUUCCAUGUGUAGUGGUAAAAUGCGUAAAUAUAUGGAGGAACACCAGUAGCGAAGGCGGCUUGCUGGGUCUUUACUGACGCUGAGGCACGAAAGCGUGGGGAGCAAACAGGAUUAGAUACCCUGGUAGUCCACGCCGUAAACGAUGAGUACUAAACGUUGGGUAAAACCAGUGUUGAAGUUAACACAUUAAGUACUCCGCCUGAGUAGUACGUACGCAAGUAUGAAACUUAAAGGAAUUGACGGGACUCCGCACAAGCGGUGGAUCAUGUUGUUUAAUUCGAAGGUACCCGAAAAACCUCACCAGGUCUUGACAUGCUUCUGCAAAGCUGUAGAAACACAGUGGAGGUUAUCAGUUGCACAGGUGGUGCAUGGUUGUCGUCAGCUCGUGUCGUGAGAUGUUGGGUUAAGUCCCGCAACGAGCGCAACCCUUAUUGUUAGUUACCAGCACGUAAUGGUGGGGACUUUAGCAAGACUGCCAGUGAUAAAUUGGAGGAAGGUGGGGACGACGUCAAAUCAUCAUGCCCCUUAUGACCUGGGCUAC